UACGAAGGGGGCUAGCGUUGCUCGGAAUUACUGGGCGUAAAGGGAGCGUAGGCGGACAUUUAAGUCGGGGGUGAAAUCCCAGAGCUCAACUCUGGAACUGCCUUCGAUACUGGGUGUCUUGGGUGUGAUAGAGGUAAGUGGAACUCCGAGUGUAGAGGUGAAAUUCGUAGAUAUUCGGAAGAACACCAGUGGCGAAGGCGACUUACUGGAUCAUUACUGACGCUGAGGCUCGAAAGCGUGGGGAGCAAACAGG
Molecule: ribosomal RNA, 253 nt
Filed under: uncultured bacterium
Lineage: Bacteria
Description: partial 16S ribosomal RNA
Rfam family: Bacterial small subunit ribosomal RNA
Source: RNAcentral